UUUUGAUGGAAUUGAGAUUCACGGUGCACAUGGAUAUCUCAUUGAUCAAUUCUUAAAGGAUGGAAUCAAUGACCGAACUGACGAAUAUGGGGGAUCACUAGCAAACCGGUGCAGGUUCCUAUUGCAGGUGGUUGAAGCUGUUGUUUCUGCCAUUGGGGCAGAAAGAGUUGCUGUGAGAAUUUCACCUGCUAUUGAUCACCUUGAUGCCAUUGACUCUGACCCACUUGGGCUAGGCUUAGCAGUGGUUGAGAGACUCAACAGUUUCCAGAAAAAGCUGGGCAGAAAACUCACUUAUCUUCAUGUUACUCAGCCUCGAUACACAGCUUACGGCCAAACUGAGUCAGGUAGACCUGGCAGCGAAGAGGAGGAAGCUCAUUUAAUGCAGAACUUGAGAAAGGCUUAUGAGGGAACAUUCAUGUGUAGUGGUGGUUUUACUAGGAAGUUAGGAAUGGAAGCUGUAGCCGAAGGCCAUGCUGACUUAGUAUCCUACGGUCGUCUUUUCAUUUCCAAUCCAGACUUGGUUUUAAGGCUCAAACUUAAUGCACCUCUAACCAGAUAUAACAGGAAGACGUUUUACACUCAGGAUCCUGUUAUAGGCUACACAGAUUAUCCUUUCAUGACCAAAGAAACUGAGGCAAAGGACCCAAGGGCACGCCUUUAACUGUAAUGUUUUUUGGCUUUUAUAAUUUAGAUAGUCAUAUUUAUAAUUCGAAUAUCUCAAUCUUAAGUGAAUGCCUUUGUUCUGAAAAUUUGUCUGAUAUAUAAGUUCUUUGGCCUGUAUGGAAGUUGCAUCUCUGUAUUUAUUAUUGAAUUACUUUGUAUAAUAGUUUUAAUUCCGUUCCUUCUUAAUAUGGUGAACUAUUGUUUUUCAGCUUGAGAUUAGUCAUAUAACCAAUGAAACCUUGGAAGUGUAUGAUGCUAUUAAUUUCAUAGCUUUUCUAUAUAAGUGACAGGGUCCUCCCUAGGAAAUAAGGACUUAAGACAUACUUUUUAUUUAUUUUUAAGUAUAAUUAUUAUUUUUAUUUCCUUCAACAUCUAUAGUUAAUAACAUAGUUAUUGUAUUACCUUUUAUUUUAAUAACUAUGAAUGCACACGGUAUCAGAAUUGAUGAUUCGUUUUCUUGAUUGGUUCAGACAAGUACAGUUAUUGUUAUAUCGAAAGUCUUUUUAAUGAACAGUUCCAGGUAAGUAUGUUCUCUUAAGAUGAAUAAUGAUACGAAGGGUUACUCGUAGUUUAGGCUGGUUGAGUGGGGUUUGGCCCUUCUCUUAAGUAUGUUUUCAAAAUUAACACACCAUGGUUUUAAUUCAGCGUCGUUUAUAAUCUCUGGACUCAAAUAAAAAAUAUUUUCUUUUUAUAAAAAGUGUUCGAAACAUUUGACAUGAGUUGCAAAAGUUGAAAAUCCUGAAAGUAAGAAUAAUUAAUAUAAUAUAUAUAUUUUUUCAAUUACAUUUGCAGUUACGCAAUCUCUUUACAUAAUUUAUAUUAUAUUCCCUAAAAAAAAGAAAAAAGUGACCAUUUGAAUAGAAAAAUUCAAUUCUAUUUAUUUCCCUUUCAUCUGUUUUUUUUUUUCAAAUUUCUUCUUACUUUUAUUUUCCUUUUACAUAAUUUAUAUUAUAUUACUUAUUUCGAUAUCAUAAUAUUAUGUUGAUUUUUAUUUUAUAAAAUUUAAAUAGUAAAGAUGUAGUAUCUAAUAAGAAUUAAUUUCACACAAUCACGAAAUGCUAUAAAUUAAAUAUUUUAAUGUAUCCACCACAUAAGUCAAAUAGUUUAAGAACUUUACACAUUCCUGCUCUUUAAUAUAAACAUAAAAGUUAACGAAACACUAUAAUACAUUUUUUAAAAGAUAUCGAAAAAGUAUUUUCUAUAAUUUUAAAUGAAAACAAUAAUAAGUAUUUUUUUUACAUUUGAAUAAAGAAUAAUGAUAAAUUGAAAGUCGAUUUUAUACAACCAAUUUACAACUAUUAUUAUUGUAUAGGAUGAUGGUUCUAUUAACUUAAGAUUGGACCGUUUUAUCAUAUAACCUAAUGAAAUCGAAAUUAAGAUUGGAUUAAUACAACCCAAUAAUGUUAAGAUGACUACAUUAAAUUUAAAUAUAAUUAUUAUCAAUUAGAUCAUAGUAUUAAUUUAAAGUUGAAUCUAAAAUAUAUAAAUAUAUAUUUGAAAUAUAAUUAUAAGUGAGUAAUAAUUAAUACAUAUUUAUUGUCAAUUAAUACAUAUUUAUUGUUAAUAUGGUUGAAUUCUUCCUAAUAUCAAAGUAGUCUCUACAAUUAAGUUGAAAGAACAAAUAAAUGAAAAGAACCUCACAAACCAAAAUAAUUAUUAUUUAUUAAAUAAUUUAAUUAAGUAUCUUCAUUUAACAAUUUAUCAUUAAAGUUGUAAUCUGAUUAUAUAUAAAGAAGGUUGUUAUAAAAUACUUUUUUAUUUCUUUUAAAAAAAAUGUUUUUUGAACACUCAAACAAUAUUUGACGCCUUUUUUAAAAGUAAUAUAAUCAUAAAAAGUAUAUUUAUGUAAUUGUAAAAAAACAAAAGUAGAUGAUAACUUAUUGAAUGCAUAGAAUUUAUUAGAAUUUCAAGACGCCUUCUACUGUCAAAGUCUAUGAAUACAAAAAUCUGUGAGACUAUGACGGUGAAGAAAUGGAAAAAAAAGAAAAAAAAUUCAGAAAGUUGAUUUAAUUUUGAUGAAGAAAAUAAAAGGUAUUCAUAUUGGAUUUGGCAAGAUGUUUGAACAUGUGGUAACCGACCACAGAGAGAAUAUAAAUCACGUGGAAGUCAAACCGCGUGAAACAUAUGCAGCAGAAGAUGGAUUACUAUAUAUAUGGUACCCAAGUGCCUCGUAGGUUGGCACCAUUGACCAUUGUCUGAUUGCCACCUUCAUUACUUUCUCUUCUUUCAACAAUGGCAGAUAUCUCCACCCUUUUUUCUCCUUACAAUAUGGGAAAAUUCAACCUCUCUCACAGGUCACUCACACACUUUCCAUUGCCUUCUUCUUCAAUCUAUUCUCACAAAAUCUAUGAAAUGAGCACUAACUGUUUGAUUUAAGUUUUGUGCAGGGUUGUGUUGGCUCCCAUGACAAGAUGCAGAGCUUUGAAGGGGAUUCCAAACGCAGCGCAUACAGAGUACUACGCUCAGAGAUCAACUCCAGGUGGAUUUCUCAUCACUGAAGGCACUUCCAUCUCUCCCACUUCUUCUGGGUACAUUCUACUUAUCUCUUCUCACUAUUAUUAUCUCUCUACUGUUGUUUAAUUUAGGGAUAAACAACCAAUCAAUUGUUCUUUAAUCUUUUUGUUUGUCAUGAAAAUGAUGUUUAGGGGUAUUUAAGGAUUCAAUUAGAUCAAUUUGAUGAAAAAUAAUGGUACACCAUUCGUUUAUUUUUGCUUUUGUUCCUUCAUCAUUCGAGAAAAAAGAUAUACAGAUUUCAAAAUGAGAAAUGAAAUAUAUACAAAUUAAUCUAGUAUCAGACGGAAAAUAUAAUUCAAAUUUUACAUUUUUUGUUUUAGAGGAAAAGCUACAAAGUAUACCUUCAAAUACAUGCAAUGCUUUAAAACAUGAUUUAAUAAUCUCUCAAAAGAUAAAUGAAUGUUAGGUAAUAAAUUCCAGGUUCAUGGUUCUUGAUUAUAUGAGCAUGAAUCUAAUUUAUGAUAUUGAAUAUGCAAUAAAGUUUGGUUUGAGUUUAAAUAUGAUCAAUUUUCAACAUAUAUGUACAGAAUCCUAAAUCAGAUUUAAUCCAAUAAAAACUCAAUUUUUGUUUUAUUUCAAAUUUUCUGGAUUUUCAUUUUGUUUUCUAGUUUUUCGGUUGAGUUACACUUACCAUGAUUCGUGUGAAUGAUUUGAAUUAUUGUUGAAAAUGAUAUUCAUGAAACCAUCAUUAAUCUUUGUAAAUUUUUUAAUAUGUGAUAACUGAAACCACCGUCCAUAUUAAUCCAUUUUCUUUCUUUUAACUCAAACCAAUUUGCUUAACCAAUGGUAAUAAUUAAGCAACUAAUUAACAAAGAAUUCUGAUUUUCUUUUUAAAAAAAUAUAUUGAUAAUAUGAAUAUUAUAUAUUUUUAAAAAAUAUUUAUAUUUUUUAAUCAUUAUUCAUCAAAUAAUGAUUAACUAAUAUAACUGUAAAAGAAUUGACAUUUUUUAGCUCUUAAUGUAGUAUUUUUGUAAUUGAUUAUAUAGUUUGGUGCACGAUAUGAGCAGUGAGUAGUAACUAAUAAGUGGUGAUCUUUAUGCAGGUUUCCUCACGUGCCUGGAAUAUACACUGAUGAACAAGUGGAAGCAUGGAGAAGUGUUGUGGAUGCCGUGCACGCCAAAGGCAGCAUAAUCUUCUGUCAACUUUGGCAUGUUGGCCGCGCAUCAAAUCCAGGUUGCAUCAUGAUAAAUUCCAUUCCAUCCUUAAUUAUGUCUUUUUAUAUGACAUUCACUUUUCAGUGAAUUGUUCACUCAUUUAGCACCUUAAAUGGAUUUGAAACAGUGUAUCAACCUGGUGGGGCUGCACCUAUUUCGUCCACCAGUAAACCCAUAUCAGAGAAGUGGAGGGUUCUCAUGCCAGAUGGGUCCCAUGGCGUGUUCUCAGAGCCUCAUGCUCUCACCACUGCUGAAAUAUCUGAAGUAGUGCAGCAUUAUCGCCAAUCAGCAAUUAAUGCAAUUCAAGCAGGUUGUACUUUAUCGUUUUGCUAAGUAUAACAUCUACCUUUUCAAUUUUCAAUGAAAAAAAAGUUAUUUAGAUAGAUUUGAUUCGAGUAAAAUAGUCUGAAGAAAAGUUAAGUUUUAUAUUUGUAAAGAAAAAGAAAGAGGGAAAGGUAGUGAAGGAUGGUAUAAAAUGAAGUAAAAAAAUUCGUGUGUGAAAGGACGAUUGUCCUUCCUAUAUAUCUAUGUUAUAUGACGAUGAUGAUGAAAUGUGACAUACUAUAUAUAUACUCGCACAGGUUUUGAUGGAAUCGAGAUUCAUGGGGCGCAUGGGUAUCUCAUCGAUCAAUUCUUGAAGGACGCAAUCAAUGAUCGAACAGAUGAAUAUGGUGGAUCACUAGAAAACCGGUGCAGGUUCCUAAUGCAGGUGAUUGAAGCUGUUGUUUCUGCUAUUGGGGCAGAAAGAGUUGCUGUCAGAAUUUCACCAGCAAUUGAUCACAUGGAUGCCUUUGACUCUGACCCACUUGGGCUAGGCUUAGCAGUGAUUGAGAAACUGAACAAAUUCCAGAAAGAAAAGGGAACAAAACUGGCUUACCUUCAUGUUACUCAGCCUCGAUUCACCCUUCUUGAGAGAACCGAGGCAGAGAGGGAAGAAGAGAGUGUUGAUCUGAUGCAGGAGUGGAGAAGGGCUUAUGAGGGAACAUUGAUGUGCAGUGGUGGCUUUACUAGGGACUCAGGAAUGAAAGCUGUGGCUCAAGGCCUUGCUGAUUUGGUUUCCUUUGGUCGUCUUUUCAUCUCUAAUCCAGACUUGGUUUCAAAGCUGAAGCUUAAUGCACCUCUCACCAGCUACAACAGGAACACCUUUUACACCUCAGAUCCUGUCAUCGGUUACACAGAUUAUCCUUUCCUGCAAAAACUAACCCAUACAAAUUAAGGAUAUCAUUGAUUUUAGUUUCCUAAAUUAGAGUUAAUCUCUUUAUUUAUGUAAUUUCAAAAAAUAAAAUUGUUUUAAUGAAUUAUAUGUCCUUUGCAUUCUAC
RNAcentral lists this long non-coding RNA (5651 nucleotides) under Vigna radiata. Its description in RNAcentral is "long non-coding RNA (VRAD_LNC007502)". Lineage: Eukaryota; Viridiplantae; Streptophyta; Magnoliopsida; Fabales; Fabaceae. The record is from RNAcentral.